GAUGAACGCUGGCGGCGUGCUUAACACAUGCAAGUCGAACGAUGAAGCCCAGCUUGCUGGGUGGAUUAGUGGCGAACGGGUGAGUAACACGUGAGUAACCUGCCCUUAACUCUGGGAUAAGCCUGGGAAACUGGGUCUAAUACCGGAUAGGAGCGUCCACCGCAUGGUGGGUGUUGGAAAGAUUUAUCGGUUUUGGAUGGACUCGCGGCCUAUCAGCUUGUUGGUGAGGUAAUGGCUCACGAAGGCGACGACGGGUAGCCGGCCUGAGAGGGUGACCGGCCACACUGGGACUGAGACACGGCCCAGACUCCUACGGGAGGCAGCAGUGGGGAAUAUUGCACAAUGGGCGCAAGCCUGAUGCAGCGACGCCGCGUGAGGGAUGACGGCCUUCGGGUUGUAAACCGCUUUCAGUAGGGAAGAAGCGAAAGUGACGGUACCUGCAGAAGAAGCACCGGCUAACUACGCG
Molecule: ribosomal RNA, 466 nt
Filed under: uncultured bacterium
Lineage: Bacteria
Description: partial 16S ribosomal RNA
Rfam family: Bacterial small subunit ribosomal RNA
Source: RNAcentral